RNAcentral lists this ribosomal RNA (460 nucleotides) under uncultured bacterium. RNAcentral's name for it is "partial 16S ribosomal RNA". It matches the Rfam family "Bacterial small subunit ribosomal RNA", at positions 338 to 795 of the family's 1533-position model. The record is from RNAcentral.
CCUACGGGAGGCAGCAGUGAGGAAUAUUGGUCAAUGGACGAGAGUCUGAACCAGCCAAGUAGCGUGAAGGAUGACUGCCCUAUGGGUUGUAAACUUCUUUUAUAUGGGAAUAAAACGUUCCACGUGUGGGAUUUUGUAUGUACCAUAUGAAUAAGGAUCGGCUAACUCCGUGCCAGCAGCCGCGGUAAUACGGAGGAUCCGAGCGUUAUCCGGAUUUAUUGGGUUUAAAGGGAGCGUAGGUGGAUUGUUAAGUCAGUUGUGAAAGUUUGCGGCUCAACCGUAAAAUUGCAGUUGAAACUGGCAGUCUUGAGUACAGUAGAGGUGGGUGGAAUUCGUGGUGUAGCGGUGAAAUGCUUAGAUAUCACGAAGAACUCCGAUUGCGAAGGCAGUUCACUGGACUGCAACUGACACUGAGGCUCGAAAGUGUGGGUAUCAAACAGGAUUAGAUACCCGUGUAGUC